UACGUAGGUGGCAAGCGUUAUCCGGAAUUAUUGGGCGUAAAGAGCGCGCAGGUGGUUGAUUAAGUCUGAUGUGAAAGCCCACGGCUUAACCGUGGAGGGUCAUUGGAAACUGGUCGACUUGAGUGCAGGAGAGGGAAGUGGAAUUCCAAGUGUAGCGGUGGAAUGCGUAGAUAUUUGGAGGAACACCAGUGGCGAAGGCGGCUCUCUGGACUGUAACUGACACUGAGGCACGAAAGCGUGGGGAGCAAACAGGAUUAGAUACCCGU
Molecule: ribosomal RNA, 266 nt
Filed under: uncultured prokaryote
Description: partial 16S ribosomal RNA
Rfam family: Bacterial small subunit ribosomal RNA
Source: RNAcentral